RNAcentral lists this transfer RNA (73 nucleotides) under Candidatus Woesearchaeota archaeon. RNAcentral's name for it is "tRNA-Met". It matches the Rfam family "tRNA". From Rfam's summary of the family: Transfer RNA (tRNA) molecules are approximately 80 nucleotides in length. Their secondary structure includes four short double-helical elements and three loops (D, anti-codon, and T loops). The record is from RNAcentral. Lineage: Archaea; Nanobdellati; Candidatus Woesearchaeota.
GCCGAAGUAGCUUAGUGGUCAUAGCGCCGCGCUCAUAACGCGGAGGUCGGGGGUUCGAGUCCCCCCUUCGGCA